This 22-nucleotide microRNA is filed under the name Chrysemys picta bellii (western painted turtle). RNAcentral's name for it is "Cpi-Mir-9580_3p* (star (passenger))". Lineage: Eukaryota; Metazoa; Chordata; Testudines; Emydidae. The record is from RNAcentral. RNAcentral also lists the same sequence under 1 other name.
UAUGCCGGCAUAGCCCCAUGGU